Molecule: ribosomal RNA, 1871 nt
Filed under: uncultured eukaryote
Lineage: Eukaryota
Description: SSU rRNA
Rfam family: Eukaryotic small subunit ribosomal RNA
Source: RNAcentral
AACCUGGUUGAUCCUGCCAGUAGCAUAUGCUUGUCUCAAAGAUUAAGCCAUGCAUGUGUAAGUAUGAGCACUCGUACUGUGAAACUGCGGAUGGCUCAUUAAAUCAGUCAUAAUCUACAUGGUGACCCUUUCUAAUUGGAUAACUGUAGAAAUCCUAGAGCUAAUACAUGCGAACAGCCUCUCCGCGAGGGGAGGUGUACUUACUAGACUUUUAACCAGCCCCAGGCAACUGGAGCUUUGGUGAAUCAUGGUAAUUGAUCGAAUCGCACAGCCUUUGAGCUUGGCGAUACACCAUUCGAAUCUCUGCCCUAUCAGCUAAAUCGCAGUGUAGUGGUCUGCGGUGGCAAUAACGGGUAACGGGGAAUUGGGGUUUGAUUCCGGAGAGGGAGCCUGAGAAACAGCUCCUACUUCCAAGGAAGGCAGCAGGCGCGUAAAUUACCCAAUUCUAACUCAGAGAGGUAGUGACAAGAAAUAACAAUACGGCUCCUAUCUAGGUGUCGUAAUUGGAAUGAGUACAAUCUAAACCCCUUAACGAGGAUCUAUUGGAGGGAAAGCCUGGUGCCAGCAGCCGCGGUAAUUCCAGCUCCAAUAGCGGUAUACUAAAAUUGCUGCAGUUAAAAAGCUCGUAGUUGGAAUCCUGGGUGCGGUGUGGCCCGGUCUGCCGUGAAGGUGUGCACUGGCUACGCCCCCUGCAAUCGCUCAGUAGCGCCCAUCUGAUCUUAACUGGUUGGGUGGGGCCGCUCUGGGCCGUUUACUGUGAGUAAAUAAGGGUGUUUAAAGCAAGCAAUCGCUCUGAAUUCAAUAGCAUGGGAUAAUAGAACAAGAGGCGCUGUGGUUUCGGUUGGUUGCCACAGCGCCUAAUGAUCAAUAGGAACGGUCGGGGGUAUUCGUAUUGAAUUGUCAGAGGUGAAAUUCUUAGAUUUAUGAAAGACGAACUACUGCGAAAGCAUCUACCAAGGACGCUUUCAUUGAUCAAGAACGAAAGUUAGGGGAUCGAAGAUGAUCAGAUACCGUCGUAGUCCUAACCGUAAACGAUGCCGGCUAGGGCUCGGGGGAAGUUACUAUUACCGACUCUCCCAGGACCUUGUGAGAAAUCAGAAGCCUAUGGGUUCUGGGGGGAGUAUGGUCGCAAGGCUGAAACUUAAAGGAAUUGACGGAAGGACACCACCAGGAGUGGAACCUGCGGCUUAAUUUGACUCAACACGGGAAAACUUACCAGGUCCAGACACAGGAAGGAUUGACAGAUUGAUAGCUCUUUCUUGAUUCUGUGGGGAGUGGUGCAUGGCCGUUCUUAGUUGGUGGAUUGAUCUGUCUGGUUUAUUCCGAUAACGAACGAGACCUUAGUCUGCUAAAUAGUAUCGUGAACCGUCUAACGGGUGAAGCUAGAGCAGUAUCGGGGCUCCGGCCUCGGUGCUUACUUUAGUGGAUCCUUGACGAGUUCGCGAGCACUUCUUAGAGGGACAACUUGCGGUAAGCAAGCGGAGGCUAAGGCAAUAACAGGUCUGUGAUGCCCUUAGAUGUCCUGGGCCGCACGCGCGUUACACUGAUCGGGUCAAAAAGUUUGCCCUUGGCCUAACAGCCUGGGUAAUCUCGAGUCCCGAUCGUGCUGGGGAUAGUCGAUUGCAAUUAUUUGUCUUGAACGAGGAAUUCCUAGUAAGCGUCAGUCACCAACUGGCGCUGAUUACGUCCCUGUCCUUUGUACACACCGCCCGUCGCUCCUACCGAUUGAACGGUCCGAUGAAAUCUUCGGAUCGGAGUACCCAUCUGCUGGGCAACCAGUAGUAGUGCACCGAAAAGUAGAGUGAAUCUUAUCGUUUAGAGGAAGGAGAAGUCGUAACAAGGUAUUCGUAGGUGAACCUGCAGAAGGAUCA